GAGGGUUCAAGUCCCUCUAUCCCCA
This 25-nucleotide transfer RNA is filed under the name Schlumbergera truncata (false Christmas cactus). RNAcentral describes it as "partial transfer RNA-Leu". RNAcentral also lists the same sequence under 8 other names. Lineage: Eukaryota; Viridiplantae; Streptophyta; Magnoliopsida; Caryophyllales; Cactaceae. The record is from RNAcentral.